RNAcentral lists this ribosomal RNA (522 nucleotides) under uncultured Paraglomus. RNAcentral's name for it is "SSU rRNA". It matches the Rfam family "Eukaryotic small subunit ribosomal RNA", at positions 569 to 1091 of the family's 1831-position model. Lineage: Eukaryota; Fungi; Glomeromycota; Glomeromycetes; Paraglomerales; Paraglomeraceae. The record is from RNAcentral.
AGCAGCCGCGGUAAUUCCAGCUCCAAUAGCGUAUAUUAAAGUUGUUGCAGUUAAAAAGCUCGUAGUUGAAUUUCAGGCCUGGCUGGACGGUCCGCCCUUCGGGUGAGUACUGUCUGUGGUCGGGUCCUACCUUCUGGCGAAGCGUCAUGGCCUUAACCGGCCGUGGCGGGGAACCAGGACUUUUACUGUGAAAAAAAUUAGAGUGUUCAAAGCAGGCAAUCGCUUGGAUACAUUAGCAUGGAAUAAUGGAAUAGGACAAUGGUUCUAUUUGUUGGUUUCUAGGACCGUUGUAAUGAUUAAUAGGGAUAGUUGGGGGCAUUAGUAUUCAAUUGUCAGAGGUGAAAUUCUUGGAUUUAUUGAAGACUAACUACUGCGAAAGCAUCUGCCAAGGAUGUUUUCAUUAAUCAAGAACGAAAGUUAAGGGGAUCGAAGACGAUCAGAUACCGUCGUAGUCUUAACCAUAAACUAUGCCGACUAGGAAUCGGGCGAUGUUGAAAAAAUGAACGCGCUCGGGCACCGUCA